This 501-nucleotide ribosomal RNA is filed under the name uncultured bacterium. RNAcentral describes it as "partial 16S ribosomal RNA". It matches the Rfam family "Bacterial small subunit ribosomal RNA", at positions 30 to 523 of the family's 1533-position model. The record is from RNAcentral.
AUUGAACGCUGGCGGCAGGCUUAACACAUGCAAGUCGAGCGGAGAUGAGGUGCUUGCACCUUAUCUUAGCGGCGGACGGGUGAGUAAUGCUUAGGAAUCUGCCUAUUAGUGGGGGACAACAUUCCGAAAGGAAUGCUAAUACCGCAUACGUCCUACGGGAGAAAGCAGGGGAUCUUCGGAGCUUGCGCUAAUAGAUGAGCGUAAGUCGGAUUAGCUAGUUGGUGGGGUAAAGGCCUACCAAGGCGACGAUCUGUAGCGGGUCUGAGAGGAUGAUCCGCCACACUGGGACUGAGACACGGCCCAGACUCCUACGGGAGGCAGCAGUGGGGAAUAUUGGACAAUGGGGGGAACCCUGAUCCAGCCAUGCCGCGUGUGUGAAGAAGGCCUUAUGGUUGUAAAGCACUUUAAGCGAGGAGGAGGCUACUGAGACUAAUACUCUUGGAUAGUGGACGUUACUCGCAGAAUAAGCACCGGCUAACUCUGUGCCAGCAGCCGCCGUAA